This 201-nucleotide ribosomal RNA is filed under the name Triticum aestivum (bread wheat). RNAcentral's name for it is "partial small subunit ribosomal RNA". The stretch from base 1 to 137 matches the Rfam family "Bacterial large subunit ribosomal RNA", at positions 2678 to 2813 of the family's 2925-position model. Lineage: Eukaryota; Viridiplantae; Streptophyta; Magnoliopsida; Poales; Poaceae. The record is from RNAcentral.
CUAGUACGAGAGGACCGGGAAGGACGCACCUCUGGUGUACCAGUUAUCGUGCCUACGGUAAACGCUGGGUAGCCAAGUGCGGAGAGGAUAACUGUUGAAAGCAUAUAAGUAGUAAGCCCACCCCAAGAUGAGUGCUCUCUCCUCCGACUUCCCUAGAGCCUCCGGUAUCACAGCCGAGACAGCGACGGGUUCUCCACCCAU